RNAcentral lists this ribosomal RNA (714 nucleotides) under Erwinia sp. 42ANGIII. RNAcentral's name for it is "bacterial SSU rRNA". It matches the Rfam family "Bacterial small subunit ribosomal RNA", at positions 71 to 779 of the family's 1533-position model. Lineage: Bacteria; Pseudomonadati; Pseudomonadota; Gammaproteobacteria; Enterobacterales; Erwiniaceae. The record is from RNAcentral.
ACGGGGAGCUUGCUCCUGGGUGACGAGCGGCGGACGGGUGAGUAAUGUCUGGGAAACUGCCCGAUGGAGGGGGAUAACUACUGGAAACGGUGGCUAAUACCGCAUAACGUCUUCGGACCAAAGUGGGGGACCUUCGGGCCUCACACCAUCGGAUGUGCCCAGAUGGGAUUAGCUAGUAGGUGGGGUAAUGGCUCACCUAGGCGACGAUCCCUAGCUGGUCUGAGAGGAUGACCAGCCACACUGGAACUGAGACACGGUCCAGACUCCUACGGGAGGCAGCAGUGGGGAAUAUUGCACAAUGGGCGCAAGCCUGAUGCAGCCAUGCCGCGUGUGUGAAGAAGGCCUUCGGGUUGUAAAGCACUUUCAGCGAGGAGGAAGGGUUUAGUGUUAAUAGCACUGUUCAUUGACGUUACUCGCAGAAGAAGCACCGGCUAACUCCGUGCCAGCAGCCGCGGUAAUACGGAGGGUGCAAGCGUUAAUCGGAAUUACUGGGCGUAAAGCGCACGCAGGCGGUUUGUUAAGUCAGAUGUGAAAUCCCCGCGCUUAACGUGGGAACUGCAUUUGAAACUGGCAAGCUAGAGUCUUGUAGAGGGGGGUAGAAUUCCAGGUGUAGCGGUGAAAUGCGUAGAGAUCUGGAGGAAUACCGGUGGCGAAGGCGGCCCCCUGGACAAAGACUGACGCUCAGGUGCGAAAGCGUGGGGAGCAAACAGGAUU